GAUGUAUUCGUACACUUCUCUGCAAUUCAAAGCGAAGGCUUCAAGACUUUAGACGAAGGUCAAAAAGUAACAUU
RNAcentral lists this unclassified non-coding RNA (74 nucleotides) under Virgibacillus salexigens. Its description in RNAcentral is "cspA". The record is from RNAcentral. Lineage: Bacteria; Bacillati; Bacillota; Bacilli; Caryophanales; Bacillaceae.